UACGUUCCCGGGUCUUGUACACACCGCCCGUCACACCAUGGGAGCGGGUUUUACCAGAAGUAGGUAGCUUAACCGUAAGGAGGGCGCUUACCACGGUAGGAUUCGUGACUGGGUG
RNAcentral lists this ribosomal RNA (115 nucleotides) under uncultured bacterium. Its description in RNAcentral is "partial 16S ribosomal RNA". It matches the Rfam family "Bacterial small subunit ribosomal RNA", at positions 1367 to 1482 of the family's 1533-position model. The record is from RNAcentral.